UGUGGUAGCAUAAUCACUAGGUUUUUAAUUGGAAUUUUGUAUGAAUGAUUGAUCAAGAGAAAAACUGUCUUUAUAUUAAAGUUUGAAUUUAACUUUUAAGUGAAAAGGCUUAAUAUAUUCUAAAGGGACGAUAAGACCCUAUAAAACUUUACCUUACUUGUUAAUAUUUUAUUUAAUUUUGUCGCCCUACGAUUUAAAUUUAAUUUUUUGUUAUGUUGGGGAGACAAAAUCUAUAAUUUAUAUUAACUGCUUGAAGAGAAAUCAAUAAAUUAUUGACCCCAUUGUUAUAGAUCCCCUCUACACAUUAAAAGAUUAACCUACUUUAGGGAUAACAGCCCUUUUUUUUUUGAGAGUUCAUUUCUAAAAAAAACAUUUCAACCUC
This 382-nucleotide ribosomal RNA is filed under the name Potamonautidae sp. Crab_9a_Kiambu. RNAcentral describes it as "partial 16S ribosomal RNA". Lineage: Eukaryota; Metazoa; Arthropoda; Malacostraca; Decapoda; Potamonautidae. The record is from RNAcentral.